AGACGUCAUGUUGUAUGACAACCUGAAAAGUGUGACAGAAAAGCUAUCAUUAAGGCAAAAUACAUGCGAGCAAUUUAUCUCCUCUGAUAAUAUAAAAGCAGUAGUGAUAAGUUGGCACAAAAAAGCUCACAAAAGCAAUGAAUAGGACACAUAAAUUUAAACCUUGAACAGGCAAGCUAACAAGAAGGGUUUCAGAUUUUGAAAACUAUUGGAGUCAAGCACCAAAAUUAAGAAGCAUAUGGACUUAUGGAUGUCAUCAAUAAAUAAAUAAAUAAAACAUACCGGAGUGAGUUCAUUUCAAG
Molecule: unclassified non-coding RNA, 302 nt
Filed under: Hevea brasiliensis (rubber tree)
Lineage: Eukaryota; Viridiplantae; Streptophyta; Magnoliopsida; Malpighiales; Euphorbiaceae
Source: RNAcentral